UGGGAAUUUCACAUUUUAUGAAACAUGCAUAAUUCACAUUCAUAAAUAAAUCUGACAAAUAAAAAUUUAAAAAAAUUAUGAUAAAAGGCAAUUAAAUUAAAAUUAACUCAAGU
Molecule: long non-coding RNA, 113 nt
Organism: Neltuma alba
Lineage: Eukaryota; Viridiplantae; Streptophyta; Magnoliopsida; Fabales; Fabaceae
Exons: 3
Source: RefSeq, a predicted model, not a curated record